GAUGAACGCUGGCGGUAUGCUUUACACAUGCAAGUCGAACGCAAAUUUUUAAUUUGAGUGGCGGACGGGUGAGUAACACGUGAGAAUUCGCCGAUGAACGCUGGCGGUAUGCUUUACACAUGCCCCGUCGAACGCAAGUAGAAAGCAACCUGCAGUGGCGGACGGGUGAGUAACACGUGAGAAUUCGCCUUUAGGCGGGGAAUAACCAUCGGGAAACAAUGGCUAAUGCCCCAUAUGCUCGGUAAGAGUGAAGGGAGUAAUCCCACCCAAAGGAGAAGCUCGCGGCUGAUUAACUAGUUGGUAAGGUAAUGGUUUACCAAGGCGACGAUCAGUAGCUGGGUUUGAGAGAAACGAUCAGCCACACUGGAACUGAGACACGGUCCAGACUCCUACGGGAGGCAGCAGUGGGGAAUUUUCCGCAAUGGGCGAAAGCCUGACGGAGCAAUACCGCGUGAGGGAUGACAGCCUUUGGGUCGUAAACCUCUUUUAUCAAGGAGGAAGUU
Molecule: ribosomal RNA, 503 nt
Filed under: uncultured soil bacterium
Lineage: Bacteria
Description: bacterial SSU rRNA
Rfam family: Bacterial small subunit ribosomal RNA (bases 93-503)
Source: RNAcentral